UACGGGGGGGGCAAGCGUUGUUCGGAAUUACUGGGGGUAAAGGGCUCGUAGGCGGCCAACUAAGUCAGACGUGAAAUCCCUCGGCUUAACCGGGGAACUGCGUCUGAUACUGGAUGGCUUGAGUUUGGGAGAGGGAUGCGGAAUUCCAGGUGUAGCGGUGAAAUGCGUAGAUAUCUGGAGGAACACCGGUGGCGAAGGCGGCAUCCUGGACCAACACUGACGCUGAGUGAGCGAAAGCCAGGGGAGCAAACGGG
This 254-nucleotide ribosomal RNA is filed under the name uncultured bacterium. RNAcentral describes it as "partial 16S ribosomal RNA". It matches the Rfam family "Bacterial small subunit ribosomal RNA", at positions 524 to 776 of the family's 1533-position model. The record is from RNAcentral.